GACGAACGCUGGCGGCGUGCUUAACACAUGCAAGUCGAACGGAAAGGCCCUGCUUGCAGGGUACUCGAGUGGCGAACGGGUGAGUAACACGUGGGUGAUCUGCCCUGCACUUCGGGAUAAGCCUGGGAAACUGGGUCUAAUACCGGAUAGGAGCCAUUUUUAGUGUGAUGGUUGGAAAGUUUUUUCGGUGUAGGAUGAGCUCGCGGCCUAUCAGCUUGUUGGUGGGGUAAUGGCCCACCAAGGCGGCGACGGGUAGCCGGCCUGAGAGGGUGGACGGCCACAUUGGGACUGAGAUACGGCCCAGACUCCUACGGGAGGCAGCAGUGGGGAAUAUUGCACAAUGGGCGCAAGCCUGAUGCAGCGACGCCGCGUGGGGGAUGACGGCCUUCGGGUUGUAAACUCCUUUCGCUAGGGACGAAGCUUUUUGUGACGGUACCUAGAUAAGAAGCACCGGCUAACUACGUG
This 465-nucleotide ribosomal RNA is filed under the name uncultured bacterium. RNAcentral's name for it is "partial 16S ribosomal RNA". It matches the Rfam family "Bacterial small subunit ribosomal RNA", at positions 28 to 507 of the family's 1533-position model. The record is from RNAcentral.